This is a long non-coding RNA of Anolis sagrei ordinatus, 416 nucleotides long. RefSeq lists it as uncharacterized. The record is from RefSeq and is a predicted model, not a curated record. NCBI's taxonomy places the organism in Eukaryota, Metazoa, Chordata, Lepidosauria, Squamata, Anolidae.
GAGGGUAUCUGUCCCAAAAAUGAUGGUCAGCAACAGUCCUCCAGGGACUGUGUCUAUCGUUGUUCACAAGAUGUCAAUUGCGCUGGCAAGAGGAAGUGCUGCAAAACUGGGUGUGGCACUGACUGCCUGGAGCCACUGACUGGUGUCCCGUCGGUCAAUUCAACAACAUCUCCUCCUGACACUCAAGCAAUAGAAGAAGCUUCUGGAGAGUAGAACAGAGGGGUCUCAUAACAGCUGGAAGUUACUCCUGGAUCCUCCCCAAAGUGGCCGUCCAUCCUGCAUGCCAGCAUCUCCCUCGCGUCUCCCCUUCCCUCUACCAUCACUGUAUUACUCUCCUUUCUCCCAUCCAAACAUGCCUUAGCAAGCCCAGCAUGAAUACAAACAUCUAUGGCCAUAUAAAGCAUUGUCAGAAAGUU